Molecule: signal recognition particle RNA, 243 nt
Filed under: Desulfobacteraceae bacterium
Lineage: Bacteria; Pseudomonadati; Thermodesulfobacteriota; Desulfobacteria; Desulfobacterales; Desulfobacteraceae
Description: signal recognition particle sRNA large type
Rfam family: Bacterial large signal recognition particle RNA
About the family: The signal recognition particle (SRP) is a universally conserved ribonucleoprotein involved in the co-translational targeting of proteins to membranes. Archaeal SRP consists of a 7S RNA and homologues of the eukaryotic SRP19 and SRP54 proteins.
Source: RNAcentral
UUGUGAUAUGCGGGGUGUCAGCGGUACCUUGUUUCCCGAAAUCCGCUUUAUGCGGGGCAGAAUUCCCUCCUAAGGGUUGAAUGCGGGGUGAUAAGUUAUUCUGACCGGUCGCCGCGCAACAGACGAUUACGAACCUCGUCAGAUCCGGAAGGAAGCAGCGAUAAGUAACUCAGUCUGUGUCGUGGAUCGAUCCCGGUUAUGUUAUAAUUUAUUUCCCGUACAUAUUCGACGGGGGGUUCACAA